RNAcentral lists this unclassified non-coding RNA (520 nucleotides) under uncultured Glomus. RNAcentral's name for it is "SSU rRNA". It matches the Rfam family "Eukaryotic small subunit ribosomal RNA", at positions 569 to 1091 of the family's 1831-position model. Lineage: Eukaryota; Fungi; Glomeromycota; Glomeromycetes; Glomerales; Glomeraceae. The record is from RNAcentral.
AGCAGCCGCGGUAAUUCCAGCUCCAAUAGCGUAUAUUAAAGUUGUUGCAGUUAAAAAGCUCGUAGUUGAAUUUCGGGAUCAAUGUGUUGGUCGUGCCUUGGUACGUACUGGCAUUAUCGAUUCCUACCUUCUGAAGAACCUCGAUGUCAUUAAUUUGGUGUCUUGGGGAAUCAGGACUGUUACUUUGAAAAAAUUAGAGUGUUUAAAGCAGGCUCGCGCUUGAAUACAUUAGCCUGGAAUAAUGAAAUAGGACGUUUGAUUCUAUUUUGUUGGUUUCUAGGAUCGACGUAAUGAUUAAUAGGGAUAGUUGGGGGCAUUAGUAUUCAAUUGUCAGAGGUGAAAUUCUUGGAUUUAUUGAAGACUAACUACUGCGAAAGCAUUUGCCAAGGAUGUUUUCAUUAAUCAAGAACGAAAGUUAGGGGAUCGAAGACGAUCAGAUACCGUCGUAGUCUUAACCAUAAACUAUGCCGACUAGGGAUCGGAUGAUGUUAAUUUUUUAAUGACUCAUUCGGCGCCUUAC